This 67-nucleotide transfer RNA is filed under the name Marmota monax (woodchuck). RNAcentral's name for it is "tRNA.Gly". It matches the Rfam family "tRNA". From Rfam's summary of the family: Transfer RNA (tRNA) molecules are approximately 80 nucleotides in length. Their secondary structure includes four short double-helical elements and three loops (D, anti-codon, and T loops). The record is from RNAcentral. Lineage: Eukaryota; Metazoa; Chordata; Mammalia; Rodentia; Sciuridae.
GGAAUGUGGCUCAGUGGUAGAGCGCUUGCUUACCACGCAUGAGGCAUUGGGUUCAAUCCCAGUACCA